This 1060-nucleotide ribosomal RNA is filed under the name Flavobacterium sp. UA-JF0827. Its description in RNAcentral is "bacterial SSU rRNA". It matches the Rfam family "Bacterial small subunit ribosomal RNA", at positions 72 to 1138 of the family's 1533-position model. The record is from RNAcentral. Lineage: Bacteria; Pseudomonadati; Bacteroidota; Flavobacteriia; Flavobacteriales; Flavobacteriaceae.
UAGGAAGCUUGCUUUCUAGAGACCGGCGCACGGGUGCGUAACGCGUAUGCAAUCUACCUUUCACAGAGGGAUAGCCCAGAGAAAUUUGGAUUAAUACCUCAUAGUAUAAUUGAAUGGCAUCAUUUAAUUAUUAAAGAUUUAUCGGUGAAAGAUGAGCAUGCGUCCCAUUAGCUAGUUGGUAUGGUAACGGCAUACCAAGGCUACGAUGGGUAGGGGUCCUGAGAGGGAGAUCCCCCACACUGGUACUGAGACACGGACCAGACUCCUACGGGAGGCAGCAGUGAGGAAUAUUGGACAAUGGGCGCAAGCCUGAUCCAGCCAUGCCGCGUGCAGGAUGACGGUCCUAUGGAUUGUAAACUGCUUUUAUACGAGAAGAAACACCUCUACGUGUAGAGACUUGACGGUAUCGUAAGAAUAAGGAUCGGCUAACUCCGUGCCAGCAGCCGCGGUAAUACGGAGGAUCCAAGCGUUAUCCGGAAUCAUUGGGUUUAAAGGGUCCGUAGGCGGUCAGAUAAGUCAGUGGUGAAAGCCCAUCGCUCAACGGUGGAACGGCCAUUGAUACUGUCUGACUUGAAUUAUUAGGAAGUAACUAGAAUAUGUAGUGUAGCGGUGAAAUGCUUAGAGAUUACAUGGAAUACCAAUUGCGAAGGCAGGUUACUACUAAUAUAUUGACGCUGAUGGACGAAAGCGUGGGUAGCGAACAGGAUUAGAUACCCUGGUAGUCCACGCCGUAAACGAUGGAUACUAGCUGUUGGGAGCAAUCUCAGUGGCUAAGCGAAAGUGAUAAGUAUCCCACCUGGGGAGUACGAACGCAAGUUUGAAACUCAAAGGAAUUGACGGGGGCCCGCACAAGCGGUGGAGCAUGUGGUUUAAUUCGAUGAUACGCGAGGAACCUUACCAAGGCUUAAAUGUAGAUUGACCGGUUUGGAGACAGACUUUUCGCAAGACAAUUUACAAGGUGCUGCAUGGUUGUCGUCAGCUCGUGCCGUGAGGUGUCAAGUUAAGUCUUAUAACGAGCGCACCCCCUGUUGUUAGUUGCAAGCGAGUCAUGUCCGGGAAC